This 308-nucleotide long non-coding RNA is filed under the name Panax ginseng (ginseng). Its description in RNAcentral is "long non-coding RNA (PGIN_LNC007445)". Lineage: Eukaryota; Viridiplantae; Streptophyta; Magnoliopsida; Apiales; Araliaceae. The record is from RNAcentral.
CGUCGUACGAAUAUUCCCUGUUAAAAUGAAUAUUCCCCGACCCAUCGAAUAUUACAUAACCACUUGCUUACUUUGCAAAAUUUGUAAAUAUUACCCACAACUAUAACAUUAUAUCAAAUCCACACCAUAAUAUUCAAAAAUAUAUUUCGAGAAAAUUAUUCUUUAUUCAUAAAAGUUGGGGUCUUACAAUAACAAUCUUGUACUCUAAUUUGAGUUUCAAAUUAGGGUUUCCCAUAGUAAUACUAGGGUUUGGUCAUAACACACCAUAAUUGACCAACCAUUAUCAAUACGUACAUACAAUACAUAUU